UACGUAGGGUCCGAGCGUUGUCCGGAAUUAUUGGGCGUAAAGGGCUCGUAGGCGGUCUGUUGCGUCGGGAGUGAAAACUUACAGCUUAACUGUGAGCGUGCUUCCGAUACGGGCAGACUUGAGGUAUUCAGGGGAGAACGGAAUUCCUGGUGUAGCGGUGAAAUGCGCAGAUAUCAGGAGGAACACCAGUGGCGAAGGCGGCUUCCUGGCCUGUUCUUGACGCUGAGGCGCGAAAGCUAGGGGAGCAAACGGG
RNAcentral lists this ribosomal RNA (253 nucleotides) under uncultured bacterium. RNAcentral describes it as "partial 16S ribosomal RNA". It matches the Rfam family "Bacterial small subunit ribosomal RNA", at positions 524 to 776 of the family's 1533-position model. The record is from RNAcentral.